UACGUAGGGCGCAAGCGUUGUCCGGAUUCACUGGGUGUAAAGGGUGCGCAGGCGGGAAAGUAAGUUAGAGGUGAAAUCUCACAGCUCAACUGUGAAACUGCCUUUGAUACUGCUUUUCUUGAGUUAGGGAGAGGUUGAUGGAAUUCCAGGUGUAGCGGUGAAAUGCGUAGAUAUCUGGAGGAACACCGGUGGCGAAGGCGGCAUCCUGGACCGACACUGACGCUGAGGAGCGAAAGCCAGGGGAGCAAACGGG
Molecule: ribosomal RNA, 253 nt
Filed under: uncultured bacterium
Lineage: Bacteria
Description: partial 16S ribosomal RNA
Rfam family: Bacterial small subunit ribosomal RNA
Source: RNAcentral